Molecule: ribosomal RNA, 301 nt
Filed under: uncultured bacterium
Lineage: Bacteria
Description: partial 16S ribosomal RNA
Rfam family: Bacterial small subunit ribosomal RNA
Source: RNAcentral
CAGUCGCCACGGUAAUACGUAGGUGGCAAGCGUUGUCCGGAAUUAUUGGGCGUAAAGCGCGCGCAGGUGGUUUAAUAAGUCUGAUGUGAAAGCCCCCGGCUCAACCGGGGAGGGUCAUUGGAAACUGGGAAACUUGAGUGCAGAAGAGGAGAGUGGAAUUCCACGUGUAGCGGUGAAAUGCGUAGAGAUGUGGAGGAACACCAGUGGCGAAGGCGACUCUCUGGUCUGUAACUGACGCUGAGGCUCGAAAGCGUGGGGAGCAAACAGGAUUAGAUACCCCGGUAGUCCCUGUCUCUUAUAC